CAGCCGCCACGGUAAUACGGAGGGGGCUAGCGUUGUUCGGAAUUACUGGGCGUAAAGCGCACGUAGGCGGCUUGGUAAGUUAGAGGUGAAAGCCCGGAGCUCAACUCCGGAAUUGCCUUUAAGACUGCCGAGCUAGUAGGUGAGAGAGGUAAGUGGAAUUCCGAGUGUAGAGGUGAAAUUCGUAGAUAUUCGGAAGAACACCAGUGGCGAAGGCGGCUUACUGGCUCAUUCUAGACGCUGAGGUGCGAAAGCGUGGGGAGCAAACAGGAUUAGAUACCCGUGUAGUCCCUGUCUCUUAUAC
This 301-nucleotide ribosomal RNA is filed under the name uncultured bacterium. RNAcentral describes it as "partial 16S ribosomal RNA". It matches the Rfam family "Bacterial small subunit ribosomal RNA", at positions 509 to 807 of the family's 1533-position model. The record is from RNAcentral.